GGAAAGUUGGCAGUGGACGAACGCCUCGCCAACCCGGUCAGAUCGGGAACGAAGCAGCCGUAACGAGUUUUGUUUGGGUCGUUGUCCAACUUUCCACU
Molecule: signal recognition particle RNA, 98 nt
Filed under: Hellea balneolensis
Lineage: Bacteria; Pseudomonadati; Pseudomonadota; Alphaproteobacteria; Maricaulales; Robiginitomaculaceae
Description: signal recognition particle sRNA small type
Rfam family: Bacterial small signal recognition particle RNA
About the family: The signal recognition particle (SRP) is a universally conserved ribonucleoprotein involved in the co-translational targeting of proteins to membranes.
Source: RNAcentral